UCUUUUUUUAAUGUAAUGAAUUUUCUAAUUUAAGUGCUUAAAUUAAAUUACACAGAUGUUAAUUUAAUAAUUAUCCAUCCAUCCAUCCAUUUUCCAAACCGCUUAUCCUAUUGGGUCGCGGGGGGUCCGGAGCCUAAUUUAAUAAUUAUUUCAAAUAUUAAUAUCCAUCCAUCCAUCCAUUUUCCAAACCGCUUAUCCUAUUGGGUCGCGGGGGGUCCGGAGCCUAAUUUAAUAAUUAUUUCAAAUAUUAAUAUAAAUUGUUAAAAUGCAAAAUACUAGAAGUUCAUGUUAAAAAUGGACUAUUUACAAAACAACUGCUGUAAUGUGUUAUCGAUUUGAUCUUUAACUAAUGUAAUGUAAGCAAAUGGGAAAUGUGUCUCUAUAUCAUUAUGCUGAAAUCUAUCUCUUUGUUACAGGCUUUCAGAAGCUGCUGGAUCCUCUUCACUCUGGCUUGCUGAUAGUUUUAUCUUGCAGCAUUAUUCUGAACGUUGCUCUCAUUUGUAUAAGAUGUAAACUGACCUGUACACACUGUGCAGAUGAAAAGAACAGUGAUAUAUCAAAAGUGGAAUGGUCACGCAAGCAAUGCCAUGACGAGGACACACUGAAUUACGCUGCCCUGAACCUUAAGAAGCCAAAACCCAGGAGACAGAAGAAAGACGGGAAUAAUGACACUCUGUAUUCUGACCUCCGCUACAGAGAUUAUGAAUAAAGAUGCUUCUCAUUCAUGUCAGUCACACAGAGUGUUCAGGGUGUAGCUUUAAUAAUGUUCAGAGGAGGGCAGGGGAGCCAGUGCUUCUGAGACUGAAUCACGGGAUUUUACGGAGCACCGGUGCUGAGUUUGGUGUCAGUGUGUUUGGGGCGCAUUUUUACUGGAAGUGCAAA
Brienomyrus brachyistius is the source of this 882-nucleotide long non-coding RNA. RefSeq lists it as uncharacterized. Lineage: Eukaryota; Metazoa; Chordata; Actinopteri; Osteoglossiformes; Mormyridae. The record is from RefSeq and is a predicted model, not a curated record. The transcript is spliced from 3 exons.